RNAcentral lists this ribosomal RNA (381 nucleotides) under uncultured marine Chaetocerotaceae. RNAcentral describes it as "SSU rRNA". It matches the Rfam family "Eukaryotic small subunit ribosomal RNA", at positions 587 to 972 of the family's 1831-position model. The record is from RNAcentral. Lineage: Eukaryota; Bacillariophyta; Thalassiosirophyceae; Chaetocerotales; Chaetocerotaceae.
AGCUCCAAUAGCGUAUAUUAAAGUUGCUGCAGUUAAAAAGCUCGUAGUUGCAUUUCCGAGGCAAGGGAUUAGUCCGACCUUUGGUGGGUAUUUAAUCCUCUUGCCUCGUCCUUGAGUGGUGCUUCUUGGUAUUAAGUUAUCGAGGAGAUAGCCGCUCAUCGUUUACUGUGAGAAAAUUAGAGUGUUCAAAGCAGGCUUAUGCCGUUGAAUAUAUUAGCAUGGAAUAAUAAGAUAGGACCUCGGUACUAUUUUGUUGGUUUGAGAACCAAGGUAAUGAUGAAUAGUGACAGUUGGGGGUAUUCGUAUUCAGUUGUCAGAGGUGAAAUUCUUAGAUUUACGGAAGACGAACUACUGCGAAAGCAUUUUCCAAGGAUGUUUUCA